UACGUAGGUGGCAAGCGUUAUCCGGAUUUACUGGGUGUAAAGGGAGCGUAGACGGUGAAGUAAGUCUGGAGUGAAAGGCGGGGGCCCGACCCCCGGACUGCUCUGGAAACUAUUUGACUGGAGUGCAGGAGAGGUAAGCGGAAUUCCUAGUGUAGCGGUGAAAUGCGUAGAUAUUAGGAGGAACACCAGUGGCGAAGGCGGCCUGCUGGACGGUGACUGACGCUGAGGCGCGAAAGCGUGGGGAGCAAACAGG
RNAcentral lists this ribosomal RNA (253 nucleotides) under uncultured Eubacteriales bacterium. RNAcentral's name for it is "uncultured Clostridiales bacterium partial 16S ribosomal RNA". It matches the Rfam family "Bacterial small subunit ribosomal RNA", at positions 524 to 776 of the family's 1533-position model. The record is from RNAcentral. Lineage: Bacteria; Bacillati; Bacillota; Clostridia; Eubacteriales.